Molecule: unclassified non-coding RNA, 204 nt
Filed under: Hevea brasiliensis (rubber tree)
Lineage: Eukaryota; Viridiplantae; Streptophyta; Magnoliopsida; Malpighiales; Euphorbiaceae
Source: RNAcentral
UUUCAGUGUUCUCAUUCUUCAGAGGAUAACCCAUCCGGUCCGUAGGUCUUGCAUUUGGCAUUGUGCUUCUACGUUCAUUCACUGCAUUGUCUUUCAUAGCAUUGUUUGAUACGUUAGCUCGAGUAUUGUUUAGCUCUUUGAAAUCCACAUUGUUUCCAUCCACAUAACGGCCAUUAAACAAAUCUCUUGAAACUCUGGAUUCUG